Long non-coding RNA from Strigops habroptila (Kakapo), 172 nucleotides. RefSeq lists it as uncharacterized. NCBI's taxonomy places the organism in Eukaryota, Metazoa, Chordata, Aves, Psittaciformes, Psittacidae. The transcript is spliced from 2 exons. The record is from RefSeq and is a predicted model, not a curated record.
ACCAGGAGAAGCACUAUCAGGAGAUCUUCCCAUAGGUCCAGUGGGUCCAACAGGUCCUCUUCUACCUAAAGGAAGUAACUAACUAGAAGAAUGCUGACAUGUCACGGGUAAGGUAUGUUCUCACUUGUACACUGAAUAUACCAGGGAUUAGGCUAAUGAAAAUGCCUUCUCU